RNAcentral lists this ribosomal RNA (468 nucleotides) under uncultured bacterium. Its description in RNAcentral is "partial 16S ribosomal RNA". It matches the Rfam family "Bacterial small subunit ribosomal RNA", at positions 28 to 507 of the family's 1533-position model. The record is from RNAcentral.
GACGAACGCUGGCGGCGUGCUUAACACAUGCAAGUCGAACGGAAAGGCCCUGCUUUUGUGGGGGGCUAGAGUGGCGAACGGGGGAGUAACACGUGAGUAACCUGCCCUUGACUUUGGGAUAACUUCAGGAAACUGGGGCUAAUACCGGAUAGGAGCUCCUGCUGCAUGGUGGGGGUUGGACAGUUUCGGCGGUUGGUGAUGGACUCGCGGCUUAUCAGCUUGCUUGUGGGGUAGUGGAUUACCAAGGCUGUGACGGGUAGCCGGCCUGAGAGGGUGACCGGCCAGACUGGGACUGAGAGACGGCCCAGACUCCUACGGGAGGCAGCAGUGGGGAAUAUUGCACCAUGGGCGGACGCCUGAUGCAGCAACGCCGCGUGCGGGAUGACGGCCUUCGGGUUGUAAACCGCUUUCGCCUGUGACGAAGCGUGAGUGACGGUAAUUGGUAAAGAAGCACCGGCUAACUACGUG